Molecule: ribosomal RNA, 813 nt
Filed under: Psychrobacter maritimus
Lineage: Bacteria; Pseudomonadati; Pseudomonadota; Gammaproteobacteria; Moraxellales; Moraxellaceae
Description: bacterial SSU rRNA
Rfam family: Bacterial small subunit ribosomal RNA
Source: RNAcentral
GAGCGGAACGAUGAUAGCUUGCUAUCAGGCGUCGAGCGGCGGACGGGUGAGUAAUACUUAGGAAUCUACCUAGUAGUGGGGGAUAGCUCGGGGAAACUCGAAUUAAUACCGCAUACGACCUACGGGAGAAAGGGGGCAGUUUACUGCUCUCGCUAUUAGAUGAGCCUAAGUCGGAUUAGCUAGAUGGUGGGGUAAAGGCCUACCAUGGCGACGAUCUGUAGCUGGUCUGAGAGGAUGAUCAGCCACACCGGGACUGAGACACGGCCCGGACUCCUACGGGAGGCAGCAGUGGGGAAUAUUGGACAAUGGGGGCAACCCUGAUCCAGCCAUGCCGCGUGUGUGAAGAAGGCCUUUUGGUUGUAAAGCACUUUAAGCAGUGAAGAAGACUCCAUGGUUAAUACCCAUGGACGAUGACAUUAGCUGCAGAAUAAGCACCGGCUAACUCUGUGCCAGCAGCCGCGGUAAUACAGAGGGUGCAAGCGUUAAUCGGAAUUACUGGGCGUAAAGCGAGCGUAGGUGGCUUGAUAAGUCAGAUGUGAAAUCCCCGGGCUUAACCUGGGAACUGCAUCUGAUACUGUUAGGCUAGAAUAGGUGAGAGGAAGGUAGAAUUCCAGGUGUAGCGGUGAAAUGCGUAGAGAUCUGGAGGAAUACCGAUGGCGAAGGCAGCCUUCUGGCAUCAUAUUGACACUGAGGUUCGAAAGCGUGGGUAGCAAACAGGAUUAGAUACCCUGGUAGUCCACGCCGUAAACGAUGUCUACUAGUCGUUGGGUCCCUUGAGGACUUAGUGACGCAGCUAACGCAAUAAGUAGACCG